This 484-nucleotide ribosomal RNA is filed under the name uncultured bacterium. RNAcentral's name for it is "partial 16S ribosomal RNA". It matches the Rfam family "Bacterial small subunit ribosomal RNA", at positions 30 to 507 of the family's 1533-position model. The record is from RNAcentral.
AUUGAACGCUGGCGGCAGGCCUAACACAUGCAAGUCGAGCGGAUGAAGGGAGCUUGCUCCUGGAUUCAGCGGCGGACGGGUGAGUAAUGCCUAGGAAUCUGCCUGGUAGUGGGGGAUAACGUCCGGUAACGGGCGCUAAUACCGCAUACGUCCUGAGGGAGAAAGUGGGGGAUCUUCGGACCUCACGCUAUCAGAUGAGCCUAGGUCGGAUUAGCUAGUUGGUGGGGUAAAGGCCUACCAAGGCGACGAUCCGUAACUGGUCUGAGAGGAUGAUCAGUCACACUGGAACUGAGACACGGUCCAGACUCCUACGGGAGGCAGCAGUGGGGAAUAUUGGACAAUGGGCGAAAGCCUGAUGCAGCCAUGCCGCGUGUGUGAAGAAGGUCUUCGGAUUGUAAAGCACUUUAAGUUGGGAGGAAGGGCAGUAAGUUAAUACCUUGCUGUUUUGACGUUACCAACAGAAUAAGCACCGGCUAACUUCGUG